Molecule: long non-coding RNA, 256 nt
Organism: Myotis myotis
Lineage: Eukaryota; Metazoa; Chordata; Mammalia; Chiroptera; Vespertilionidae
Exons: 2
Source: RefSeq, a predicted model, not a curated record
UUAGACAUCAGACCCCCUGUUCUUUGUCGAUUUCAUGCAGAUCCUGGACCACUUUGAGCCUUCGCCAUCCAGUCCCUCAGGGAAUUCAUGCUGCUGCAACCCCUCGGUCCAACCAGGAGGAAUCUAUACAGUGUUCCAGUCGACUACAAGCAAAACCCAUCCCCCUGUGAUAUCAACGUUCCCCCCUCAGCAGGAAGUAACUACAAAAGAUAGGACCUUUGUCCCUAUUCCAUAAAACAAAAAGGCUGGAAUGUUA